This 220-nucleotide unclassified non-coding RNA is filed under the name uncultured Actinomycetes bacterium. RNAcentral's name for it is "uncultured actinobacterium contains 16S-23S intergenic spacer region". It matches the Rfam family "Bacterial small subunit ribosomal RNA", at positions 976 to 1199 of the family's 1533-position model. Lineage: Bacteria; Bacillati; Actinomycetota; Actinomycetes. The record is from RNAcentral.
UGGGCUUGACAUGCAGGGUGAAACCCGUGAAAGCGGGCGCUCUUCGGAGCCUGCACAGGUGGUGCAUGGCUGUCGUCAGCUCGUGCCGUGAGGUGUUGCCUUAAGUGGCGCAACGAGCGCAACCCCUGUCCUUAGUUGCCAGCGGAUCAUGCCGGGAACUCUAGGGAGACUGCCGGUGCCAAACCGGAGGAAGGUGGGGAUGACGUCGCUGUACCAUAGA